UAGUGUGAAUUGCAGAAUUCCGCGAAUCAUCGAGUCUUUGAACGCAAGUUGCGCCCGAGGCUUGUCCAAGGGCAUUUCCGCUAGAGCGUCACC
Molecule: ribosomal RNA, 93 nt
Filed under: Pseudotaxiphyllum obtusifolium
Lineage: Eukaryota; Viridiplantae; Streptophyta; Bryopsida; Hypnales; Plagiotheciaceae
Description: partial 5.8S ribosomal RNA
Rfam family: 5.8S ribosomal RNA
About the family: 5.8S ribosomal RNA (5.8S rRNA) is a component of the large subunit of the eukaryotic ribosome. It is transcribed by RNA polymerase I as part of the 45S precursor that also contains 18S and 28S rRNA. Functionally, it is thought that 5.8S rRNA may be involved in ribosome translocation.
Source: RNAcentral